AGAGAUGGGCAGGUCGUGAGGGUGACAACUGGGCGUUCACGUGCCGGCAUGACACACGCCUCCCUCAUACCGCGUUAAGGCAUCGCCACAUUACCCGUCUGAUG
This 104-nucleotide small nucleolar RNA is filed under the name Catagonus wagneri (Chacoan peccary). RNAcentral describes it as "Small nucleolar RNA U13 (ENSCWAG00000018131.1)". It matches the Rfam family "Small nucleolar RNA U13". Lineage: Eukaryota; Metazoa; Chordata; Mammalia; Artiodactyla; Tayassuidae. The record is from Rfam by way of RNAcentral.